RNAcentral lists this ribosomal RNA (807 nucleotides) under Triticum aestivum (bread wheat). RNAcentral's name for it is "partial small subunit ribosomal RNA". Lineage: Eukaryota; Viridiplantae; Streptophyta; Magnoliopsida; Poales; Poaceae. The record is from RNAcentral.
AUGGCAGCCACCCGCGCGCGAGCGCCUCUUUUUCCCGCGUCGGUCGCCUCCCAGCCCGCGAACCUACUUCGUUUCCUUCUUAUCUCACCCCUCACCCGAGACCCUAGCAUCACAACUCCCUCUCCUGAUAGAAGAGGCGGCGACGGUGAUUUGGAUCGAGGCAGCGGCGCGAUUCAUCUUGGAUUCCGGUGCAGCGGAGGUGCAGAUCCUCCUUGUCCUCAUUCCCCUCUCUAUCCUCUCUGUUCUAUGCAUCUCCUGGACCACAAAGAGGAUGAGCCUUUUCUGAACAAGCCUCUCAAGCACUAUAAUGAGAUGGCUAUCAUUCAUGGCAAUACUAUGGCCACGGAUAAUGAGGCUUCCCCACUUGAAGAAGGUAGCAAGUCAAGCAAUGGAGGCGAUUCAGUGGCUCCCAAUCCCAAAAGGGCCAAAACAAAGUCUAGUGUUGAUAAGGGGCUGCAAUCAACCCUUAUGGCAGUGGGUGAAAGGCUUGCUAUUGCCAUAGAGAGGAGUGUUAGCACCGACAACAGCUCCGCGAGCAUCUCUACGAACAACUCUACGAACAACUCCAUGGUGGGCCUUUGGGAGGGCAUGAAAGAUAUUCCCUUUCUCGGUAUUGAUUACCUUGCCCAUUAUUUUGCCUACUUGGUUGAGAAUCCAAACAUUGCAAUGGCGUUUCAACUCUUGGAGAAGGACCAAAAGGGUAUUUGGGUUGCUAGGGGUAAGCUCACCACCUCAAACAAAAUGGUGAGUGUAGCAAUCAUCCACUCUUUCAUCCUCUCAACCAAACCCACAAAUGGUUAUCCCUAG